AGCUCCAAUAGCGUAUAUUAAAGUUGUUGCAGUUAAAAAGCUCGUAGUUGAACUUCUGCGUAUGCCCGGUUCUGGCUUCGGUCAAGCCGUGGUGUGCGCAUCCGCUUGCAAACCUAGUCCGGCCUUCACUGGUCGACUAGGGGAGUAGGCUUUUUACUUUGAAAAAAUUAGAGUGUUUCAAGCAGGCAAUGGCUCGAAUACAUUAGCAUGGAAUAAUGGAAUAGGACUUUUGUCCAUUUGGUUGGUUAUUGGACAUGAGUAAUGAUUAACAGGGACAGUUGGGGGCAUUAGUAUUUAAUUGUCAGAGGUGAAAUUCUUGGAUUUAUUAAAGACUAACUUAUGCGAAAGCAUUUGCCAAGGAUGUUUUCA
RNAcentral lists this ribosomal RNA (369 nucleotides) under uncultured eukaryote. Its description in RNAcentral is "SSU rRNA". It matches the Rfam family "Eukaryotic small subunit ribosomal RNA", at positions 587 to 972 of the family's 1831-position model. The record is from RNAcentral.